UACGUAGGGUGCGAGCGUUGUCCGGAAUUAUUGGGCGUAAAGAGCUUGUAGGCGGUCUGUCGCGUCUGCUGUGAAAAUCCGGGGCUCAACCCCGGACUUGCAGUGGGUACGGGCAGACUAGAGUGUGGUAGGGGAGACUGGAAUUCCUGGUGUAGCGGUGAAAUGCGCAGAUAUCAGGAGGAACACCGAUGGCGAAGGCAGGUCUCUGGGCCACUACUGACGCUGAGAAGCGAAAGCCAGGGGAGCAAACGGG
Molecule: ribosomal RNA, 253 nt
Filed under: uncultured bacterium
Lineage: Bacteria
Description: partial 16S ribosomal RNA
Rfam family: Bacterial small subunit ribosomal RNA
Source: RNAcentral